RNAcentral lists this transfer RNA (82 nucleotides) under Caudoviricetes sp. Its description in RNAcentral is "tRNA-Leu". It matches the Rfam family "tRNA". Rfam says of the family: Transfer RNA (tRNA) molecules are approximately 80 nucleotides in length. Their secondary structure includes four short double-helical elements and three loops (D, anti-codon, and T loops). The record is from RNAcentral. Lineage: Duplodnaviria; Heunggongvirae; Uroviricota; Caudoviricetes.
GGGGAAUUGGUGGAAUUGGCAGACACAAAGGACUCAAAAUCCUUCGAAGAAAUUCAUACGGGUUCAAGUCCCGUAUUCCCCA